CCUACGGGAGGCAGCAGUGAGGAAUAUUGGUCAAUGGACGAGAGUCUGAACCAGCCAAGUAGCGUGAAGGAUGACUGCCCUAUGGGUUGUAAACUUCUUUUAUAUGGGAAUAAAAUGUUCCACGUGUGGGAUUUUGUAUGUACCAUAUGAAUAAGGAUCGGCUAACUCCGUGCCAGCAGCCGCGGUAAUACGGAGGAUCCGAGCGUUAUCCGGAUUUAUUGGGUUUAAAGGGAGCGUAGGUGGAUUGUUAAGUCAGUUGUGAAAGGUUGCGGCUCAACCGUAAAAUUGCGGUUGAAACUGGCAGUCUUGAGUACAUGAGAGGUGGGCGGAAUUCGUGGUGUAGCGGUGAAAUGCUUAGAUAUCACGAAGAACUCCGAUUGCGAAGGCAGCUCACUGGACUGCAACUGACACUGAGGCUCGAAAGUGUGGGUAUCAAACAGGAUUAGAUACCCGAGUAGUC
Molecule: ribosomal RNA, 460 nt
Filed under: uncultured bacterium
Lineage: Bacteria
Description: partial 16S ribosomal RNA
Rfam family: Bacterial small subunit ribosomal RNA
Source: RNAcentral